Non-coding RNA from Callithrix jacchus (white-tufted-ear marmoset), 935 nucleotides. The record is from RefSeq and is a predicted model, not a curated record. Lineage: Eukaryota; Metazoa; Chordata; Mammalia; Primates; Cebidae.
AGCCCCUCCAUGUCUCCCAGGCUACUUUGUUCUCUGCAGUUGUGGUUGUCACAGCGGAGCCCCACAGCCAGCUUUCUGUAGAUACUGAGGUCUAGAUUGCACCCCAGACCACUGAAAUUAGGAUCCCAUGGAGUAGGACUUUGUAUUGUAAUUUAUGAGCUCCCCAGGUGACUCUAAUGGUCGUGGGGGCUGAGCACCACGGGUCUGCAAGACGCAGGUCAGAACCUGACCUCUGGCUGGGCUGGGCAGAGCAGAGGGUUGCUACUUCCUUGUUUCCCCAUCUCCAGCCUCAGACACCGUAGGUCUCUUUCCUGCCACACAGCUAGAUGUCUGCCUUGCAUGGUACUGGCGAUAACUCACUGGUUCAGCUAGAGGCUUUGGAUUCCAGUUUACUCGUAAACAUUACUGCACAAACUGCAUCCCAUGUUUAGAAAAACGUCAAAGGAAGCCUUCCGUCCUCGCCAGCACCCGGGAAAAGCAGCUCCCUUACAGUGCAGGCAUUGAAGGUAUCCUUGGAAAGCCUCAGGAACUGGGUCUGAAUUUCUACCAGCCCAGGCUCCAUAAAGGUGCUCAGGAAACAUACUCGUUGGCUGCACAAAGAGAUGAAGGAUGAGCUGUGCGGUCUCACAAACCCACCAUUCAUAGCACAAACUGGCAAGAGCCAGCAGGGAGAGGAAAACAAAGUGUGCCUGGGUGUCUCCACAAGAUCUCCGGAAACAAGUGUCCUGGACCCCCAGGGGUGCCUGCGCCUCACUUUGAGAACAGCUGCCUUACAAGGGCACUUUGGUGAGCCUGGUGUCUAAGAGCCUCACUCUGCAAGGGUGCAGAGAGGAACAGAAAGGACACUAAUACAAAUUCAACUCAUGGUUGGGUUUCCAUUCUUGUGAUUAAUACGUGUUAUUUGGAAUAAAAAAUGCAAAACACUCAUGCACCCA